ACAGUACCGAUGAAGGACGUUUGAGGAUGCGAUAAGCCUCGGGGAGCCUCCAACAUGGCUUCGAUCCGAGGAUUUCCGAAUGGGGCAACCCGCCGGCCGUCAUGGGCCGGCACGGAACCUUGUUGUUCCGGGGGUACGCAGGGAAGUGAAACAUCUCAGUACCUGCAGGAAGGGAUACUCCGUGAGUAGUGGCGAGCGAAAGCGGAUCAGACCAAACCAUGGGCGCGUGAUACCCGUCGGGGGUUGCGUUCGUGGUGUUGCGGGAGCGUGUGUCCCGGUUCCGACGGACCGGGCGGGAGUCAUAAAACGGCUUGCCAGGGGAACAGGCUUGAAGGCCUGGCCGCAGAGGGUGCCAGCCCCGUACCUGGAAGCUUGCCGUCUUCCGAUCAUGUGUCCCAAGUAGCGCGGGCCUCGUGGAAUCCCGUGUGAAUCGGCCCCGACCGUGGGGUAAGUCUAAGCAUACCUGUCUGACCGAUAGCGUACCAGUACCGUG
Molecule: ribosomal RNA, 493 nt
Filed under: uncultured bacterium
Lineage: Bacteria
Description: bacterial LSU rRNA
Rfam family: Bacterial large subunit ribosomal RNA
Source: RNAcentral